Molecule: long non-coding RNA, 553 nt
Organism: Echinops telfairi (small Madagascar hedgehog)
Lineage: Eukaryota; Metazoa; Chordata; Mammalia; Afrosoricida; Tenrecidae
Exons: 2
Source: RefSeq, a predicted model, not a curated record
UUCACUCAGUCAACAAAUAUUGAGUCCUGCUAUAUGGAGAAAGUGGCAACUCCUCGAGUCAUGAUGCUGAUGUUCUGCUUCAAGUUUUCUGAGAUUCAGAGUGCACCGUUCAAAUAUGAAUAGCUGUUCUCGGCUGUUUCUUCUCACUUGUGAAGGUCUCCAACAUUGUGCUGCUCCCUUCACAUCAUCGGGGUCAAUUCUACUUUGAAGAGGCAGUUUUUAUCCAGUCCUAUUUUGAGGGCCUUCCACACUCAUGGAACUACCAAGAUCAGUCACCCUUCAGAUCUGGAACUGAGCUUACCUCCAUGUUAAAAUAAUCAACCAUUUAAGAUAAUAAAGGCAGCAUUUACCCAAGAACAAAGCACAGUGGGUUAGGAAACAAGGAGGGAUGGAAACAGGAAGCACCUGGAGGAAAGAGAUAAGCAAUGGUCCAUUGAGGGGGUUGCAAUGGAUGAGCUGAAACAAAAUGUAAAUGAACAGUUGAAUGUAAAACUGCUGAUCCACCCUGAAAACCUUCACCUACUUCCCAAUUAAAAGCUUUUUCAAACAGAAA